UGCGUAGGUGGUUCGUUAAGUCUGUCGUGAAAGCCCCGGGCUCAACCUGGGAAUGGCGAUGGAUACUGGCGGGCUAGAGUGCGGUAGAGGGUGGUGGAAUUCCCGGUGUAGCAGUGAAAUGCGUAGAGAUCGGGAGGAACAUCAGUUGCGAAGGCGGCCACCUGGACCAGCACUGACACUGAGGCACGAAAGCGUGGGGAGCAAACAGGAUUAGAUACCCUGGUAGUCCACGCCCUAAACGAUGCGAACUGGACGUUGGGAGCAACUAGGCUCUCAGUGUCGAAGCUAACGCGUUAAGUUCGCCGCCUGGGGAGUACGGUCGCAAGACUGAA
RNAcentral lists this ribosomal RNA (332 nucleotides) under uncultured Arenimonas sp. RNAcentral's name for it is "bacterial SSU rRNA". It matches the Rfam family "Bacterial small subunit ribosomal RNA", at positions 568 to 898 of the family's 1533-position model. The record is from RNAcentral. Lineage: Bacteria; Pseudomonadati; Pseudomonadota; Gammaproteobacteria; Lysobacterales; Lysobacteraceae.